Molecule: ribosomal RNA, 726 nt
Filed under: Bacillus cereus
Lineage: Bacteria; Bacillati; Bacillota; Bacilli; Caryophanales; Bacillaceae
Description: bacterial SSU rRNA
Rfam family: Bacterial small subunit ribosomal RNA
Source: RNAcentral
UUNGAUCCUGGCUCAGGAUGAACGCUGGCGGCGUGCCUAAUACAUGCAAGUCGAGCGAAUGGAUUAAGAGCUUGCUCUUAUGAAGUUAGCGGCGGACGGGUGAGUAACACGUGGGUAACCUGCCCAUAAGACUGGGAUAACUCCGGGAAACCGGGGCUAAUACCGGAUAACAUUUUGAACUGCAUGGUUCGAAAUUGAAAGGCGGCUUCGGCUGUCACUUAUGGAUGGACCCGCGUCGCAUUAGCUAGUUGGUGAGGUAACGGCUCACCAAGGCAACGAUGCGUAGCCGACCUGAGAGGGUGAUCGGCCACACUGGGACUGAGACACGGCCCAGACUCCUACGGGAGGCAGCAGUAGGGAAUCUUCCGCAAUGGACGAAAGUCUGACGGAGCAACGCCGCGUGAGUGAUGAAGGCUUUCGGGUCGUAAAACUCUGUUGUUAGGGAAGAACAAGUGCUAGUUGAAUAAGCUGGCACCUUGACGGUACCUAACCAGAAAGCCACGGCUAACUACGUGCCAGCAGCCGCGGUAAUACGUAGGUGGCAAGCGUUAUCCGGAAUUAUUGGGCGUAAAGCGCGCGCAGGUGGUUUCUUAAGUCUGAUGUGAAAGCCCACGGCUCAACCGUGGAGGGUCAUUGGAUACUGGGAGNCUUGAGUGCAGNAGAGGANAGUGGNAUUCCAUGUGUAGCGGUNANAUGCGUAGAGAUAUGGAGGAACACCAGUGGCGA